AUGGUACCUAUAAUUAAACAAAUAAAUGAAGAAACAAAUGUGGUCAAAGUGGGGAAUAAUGUUAUGCAGUUAGAAAACAUUUUUGAUGAAAUUACAAUUAGUUCCGAUUUAGUAAACGAUACUGUACAGACUAGUUCUACUAUUAUCGCACCAACAGAAGAGGUUGAUGAAUUAAUAACUAAAAUAGCAGAAGAACAUGCUAUAAAAUUAGAUGGGCAGUUGGGUCCUGUUAGUGCAAUUAAUCAGCAAUUGGAAGAGCUUAAUAAUAUGAGUGAAAGGAUUAAAAAUUUAAAAUAAUAAUUAUAAUAAUAAUGAAGAUAUAAUAUUACAGACUAGUUGUUUUUACUUUUACGUAUUUAUUCUUACCUACAGUUAAGAACAUUUAUGUUUUAUCGGAUGAUUUAUUAUUAUUAUUAUUAUUAUUUUAUUUUUGUUUAUUUUUGUUUAUUUACCCAUUUUCUUAUUACCCUUAAAAUGGAAUUUUUAUAGUACACUCCAAUGGAUGUCAUAUUUUUCGUUUGUUUUUGUAAAAAAAUAAAUAUAUCGGAGUUUGUUGAUAUAUAUAAUGC
Molecule: long non-coding RNA, 569 nt
Filed under: Piliocolobus tephrosceles (Ugandan red Colobus)
Lineage: Eukaryota; Metazoa; Chordata; Mammalia; Primates; Cercopithecidae
Description: lncRNA (ENSPTEG00000015556.1)
Source: RNAcentral